CUUUCCCUCCAGGUGAGGUCACUUUCCUUCCUGCCAGCUCAGAAGCAAGCCCUGCUAGAGACCAGGGACGCCUGAGGGGUUCUGCAGUCACCAUGCUCUGGCCAUCCAACCUGAAGACAGUCUUCGCCCUCUGUGUCUCUCUUGCCUUCCUGGUCACCACUGUGGAGAGCUAUGAGUGUAUAAGCUGCUCCGGGGA
Fukomys damarensis (Damara mole-rat) is the source of this 196-nucleotide long non-coding RNA. RefSeq lists it as uncharacterized. The transcript has 3 exons. Lineage: Eukaryota; Metazoa; Chordata; Mammalia; Rodentia; Bathyergidae. The record is from RefSeq and is a predicted model, not a curated record.